This 956-nucleotide long non-coding RNA is filed under the name Pogona vitticeps (central bearded dragon). Its description in RNAcentral is "lncRNA (ENSPVIG00000019783.1)". The record is from RNAcentral. Lineage: Eukaryota; Metazoa; Chordata; Lepidosauria; Squamata; Agamidae.
AUGAGAAAGAAAGAUCCUGCCCGGAGGGAAUCCCGGGACACCCCUCUCCGGAGAUCCUCUCGUCUGCAACCGGAGAAAGUAGAGCCAGAGGUGAGAUCGGGAGAUGCCGACAAGCAGGUGUCGAGAGAACCGCCGAGCCUGAAAGGAAGUCGCUCGAAUGACAUCCUCCAGCCCCGAGAGAGCAUCAAAGCGCACAGGAAGCGGGUUGAUCUCUCCGAAGACGACUCCCCCCCAGAUCCGCUCCGUGGUCCGUUGCCGCAGUCCGAACCAGAAGCUCGGAAAGACGACAGACCGAGCGUUUCGGAGAGCGAGAGCCCGCUGUCCCCGUUUGUCAGGCUAAGGAGGCUGGCUGCUCCUCCGGAAGAAGAGAUUCCCGGACGCCGAAAGGGGGAAGAGGAGCUGCAGAAACCCAACCUUGACUGGGAAGUGGUGAAGGACGAGAGGGCUCGGCUGUGGGUACUGGAGACUCGGAGGCCCCAAAGCAUGAAGGGGGCACCCCCAGCGGAAGAGGUGACACCCAGCUUACAAAGCCCAGUGGAAAACAAAGCCCUUGGGAAACCAGCCAGGGCAGGAAUCGGCAGCAGAGCUGGCUGGGGACUGAGAAUGGAGAAGACUGCCCCUUCCAUGCUGCGGGCUGAAGUUUUGCCAGCAGGGAAACCGAGCAGAAAGGGGAUCUUGGUAUGUUUUUUGGGAGGGUCCCAAAUACCUGUGAGCACUAUACAAGUGGUGCCUCGCUAGACGAUGAUAAUCUGUUCCAUUGAAAUCGCUGUUUAGUGAAAUCAUCGUCUAGCGAAAAGCAUUUCCCCAUUGGAAUGCAUUGAAACCUGAUCAGCAAGGAACUCAGGGGUCAACCCCACACACUCCUUCUAGCAGUAAAUCACAUUUACUCAGAUACAGGAGGGGCCCCCCAUCCAUGGGAUCGGUAUCCGCUGAUUCCCUUAUCCAUAGGCUGAAAA